This 246-nucleotide ribosomal RNA is filed under the name uncultured bacterium. RNAcentral's name for it is "partial 16S ribosomal RNA". It matches the Rfam family "Bacterial small subunit ribosomal RNA", at positions 335 to 599 of the family's 1533-position model. The record is from RNAcentral.
ACUCCUACGGGAGGCAGCAGUGGGAAUCUUGGACAAUGGGGCACCGUAGCAUCCAGCCAUGCCGCGUGAGUGAUGAAGGCCCUAGGGUCGUAAAGCUCUUUCGCCUGUGAAGAUAAUGACUGUAGCAGGUAAAGAAACCCGCCGUACAUCCGUGCCAGCAGCCGCGGUAAUACGGAGGGGGUUAGCGUUGUUCGGAAUUACUGGGCGUAAAGCGCGCGUAGGCGGACUGGAAAGUUGGGGUGGAAU